This 432-nucleotide ribosomal RNA is filed under the name Janibacter sp. RKVR32. RNAcentral describes it as "bacterial SSU rRNA". It matches the Rfam family "Bacterial small subunit ribosomal RNA", at positions 1 to 433 of the family's 1533-position model. The record is from RNAcentral. Lineage: Bacteria; Bacillati; Actinomycetota; Actinomycetes; Micrococcales; Intrasporangiaceae.
CCUUUAGAGUUUGAUCCUGGCUCAGGACGAACGCUGGCGGCGUGCUUAACACAUGCAAGUCGAACGGUGAAGCUCCAGCUUGCUGGAGUGGAUCAGUGGCGAACGGGUGAGUAACACGUGAGCAACCUGCCCCUGACUCUGGAAUAAGCGCUGGAAACGGCGUCUAAUACUGGAUAUGAGAAGGGUCCGCAUGGACACUUUCUGGAAAGUUUUUCGGUUGGGGAUGGGCUCGCGGCCUAUCAGCUUGUUGGUGAGGUAAUGGCUCACCAAGGCGACGACGGGUAGCCGGCCUGAGAGGGCGACCGGCCACACUGGGACUGAGACACGGCCCAGACUCCUACGGGAGGCAGCAGUGGGGAAUAUUGCACAAUGGGCGAAAGCCUGAUGCAGCGACGCCGCGUGAGGGAUGACGGCCUUCGGGUUGUAAACCUC